CCCUUAGAUGUUCUGGGCCGCACGCGCGCUACACUGAAGCGUUCAACGAGUAUUCACCUUGCCCGGGAGGGUUGGGUAAUCUUUUGAAAACGCUUCGUGAUGGGGAUAGAUUAUUGCAAUUAUUAAUCUUCAACGAGGAAUUCCUAGUAAGCGCGAGUCAUCAGCUCGUGCUGAUUACGUCCCUGCCCUUUGUACACACCGCCCGUUGCUCCUACCGAUUGAGUGAUCCGGUGAAUAAUUCGGACUGCAGCACUGCUUGGUCUCCAGGCUUUGCAGCGGAAAGUUUAGUGAACCUUAUCACUUAGAGGAAGGAGAAGUCGUAACA
RNAcentral lists this ribosomal RNA (325 nucleotides) under uncultured eukaryote. Its description in RNAcentral is "partial 18S ribosomal RNA". It matches the Rfam family "Eukaryotic small subunit ribosomal RNA", at positions 1470 to 1796 of the family's 1831-position model. The record is from RNAcentral.